Molecule: ribosomal RNA, 422 nt
Filed under: uncultured bacterium
Lineage: Bacteria
Description: partial 16S ribosomal RNA
Rfam family: Bacterial small subunit ribosomal RNA
Source: RNAcentral
GAAUAUUGGACAAUGGGGGGGACCCUGAUCCAGCCAUGCCGCGUGUGUGAAGAAGGCCUUUUGGUUGUAAAGCACUUUAAGUUGGGAGGAAGGGCAGUAAGCGAAUACCUUGCUGUUUUGACGUUACCGACAGAAUAAGCACCGGCUAACUCUGUGCCAGCCGCAGCGGUAAUACAGAGGGUGCCAGCGUUAAUCGGAAUUACUGGGCGUAAAGCGCGCGUAGGUGGUUCGUUAAGUUGGAUGUGAAAUCCCCGGGCUCAACCUGGGAACUGCAUCCAAAACUGGCGAGCUAGAGUAGGGCAGAGGGUGGUGGAAUUUCCUGUGUAGCGGUGAAAUGCGUAGAUAUAGGAAGGAACACCAGUGGCGAAGGCGACCACCUGGGCUCAUACUGACACUGAGGUGCGAAAGCGUGGGGAGCAAAC